Molecule: ribosomal RNA, 1436 nt
Filed under: Umbonium thomasi
Lineage: Eukaryota; Metazoa; Mollusca; Gastropoda; Trochida; Trochidae
Description: 16S ribosomal RNA
Rfam family: Archaeal large subunit ribosomal RNA (bases 660-1333)
Source: RNAcentral
UUAUAGGUUUGAGUGGCAUUUAUAAUUUAUAGAAAGAAUCAUCUAAUUUUAUUAGUAAUGGAGAAUGAAGUUUUUAGUAAUAGCAAGAUUGAAAAAGUACUGUGAAGGAAUAAGAAGGUUAAUUGGUUUGUUAGUAAGAGUUAGCUUUUGUACCUUUUGUAUCAUGGUUCUCUUAGAAUUUUUUAGUAUUAAAUUUAUCCCGAAAAAAGUUGAGCUAUUCCUUGACUUGCGUCAUCGUUGAAAAGCUGUGCUUAGAUUAAGGAAUAGGGGUGAUAUGCUUUUCGAAACUUUUUAUUGCUGGUUGGUUGGUAAAAGCAUCAAAGUGCUGGGUUGUACUUUUGUUUUUCGCCUAUUUGGUGAUUAAAUUAGUAUAGCUUUUAUGUGAAUAAGGAUAAGCUUAUUCAUAUGUUUAAGAAAUCGUAUAAAAAUAUUGUGUAUGGUGGGCUUAGAGUUAGUUAUCUAUUAAAAAGUUUGUUAUAAAUUAUCUUUGUUUUUGAUUAAGAUUUUUGUGUUUUUUCUUGUUAUGGCUACUGACUUAAUUACUUGAGUUAUUUUGAGUUAUAAAUUUCUGGUGAAAUGAGUAUUUAUUUGCAGUUAACUACACAUGGAUUAUUAUUAGAGAUGUUUUGUGGAGUUUAGAAAUAAAUUUAGUGUUUAUUAAUAGAAAAUGUUAAGUUUAAUUAAUUUUGUUAAAGGAAUUCGGCAAAAAUUAGUUCCGCCUGUUUACCAAAAACAUGUCUCCUUGGAUGUAUAUUUAUAGGGAGUCGAACCUGCCCAGUGACUAAGAUGUUAAACGGCCGCGGUACCCUAACCGUGCAAAGGUAGCAUAAUCAUUUGCCUUUUAAUUGGAGGCUUGUAUGAAUGGUUUGACGAGAGCUAUGCUGUCUCUUUUAAAAUAAUUAGAAAUUAACUUUUAGGUGAAGAGGCCUAAAUGAAGCUGAGGGACAAGAAGACCCUAUUGAGCUUUAGUAUAUCUGAGUUAAGUGAUUUUGGUUUUGUUUUCAUUUAUGGAAUAUUUUAAUUCAGGGAUUCUUUAGUUGGGGCGACUGAGGAACAUAAAAAGCUUCCUUGUGAGUUUUAUAAUGUAAUUUAUUUAUAUUGAUGAAUUAGUUUGAUCCGGCUUUUGUCGAUUAAGAGAAAAAGUUACCAUAGGGAUAACAGCGUAAUCUUUCUGGAGAGAUCAUAUCGAAAGAAGGGUUUGCGACCUCGAUGUUGGACUAAGAUAUCCUAAAGGUGUAGAAGCUUUUAAGGGUUGGUCUGUUCGACCAUUAAAAUCUUACAUGAUCUGAGUUCAGACCGGCGUGAGCCAGGUUGGUUUCUAUCUUCAGUUUUAAUUUUCUUUGGCUAGUACGAAAGGACCGUUUUAAGAUAAAUAUUUUAGUAGAUUGAGUGCGUAUAAUAUAGUUAUAAAAAUUAAAUUUGUGUGUUUUAAAAUU